Ananas comosus (pineapple) is the source of this 552-nucleotide long non-coding RNA. RefSeq lists it as uncharacterized. The record is from RefSeq and is a predicted model, not a curated record. The transcript is spliced from 4 exons. Lineage: Eukaryota; Viridiplantae; Streptophyta; Magnoliopsida; Poales; Bromeliaceae.
CCUGAAGUUGCUUACGUACUGGAUGUUUAUCCUCUCAGCCCCUUUUCACUUCUCUUUCCUCUCUCUCUCUACUUAGUAAACAAUUAAGAGAAAAGGGAUUACCUUUGCUGCUGGAACUGAAGCAGACCUUGGGGAAGCCUUCAAUCCAGCCUGGUGGCUUGCGGGUUGAGGAGGAGGUUUUGAUCCGAGCAGGAUUCCUACUGAUGGAGUUGUGAACUAAGAUUUAAAGGAAAUCUCUGCAGUGGAUGCUGCCGAAUUGGAGGAUUAGAUCGUUUGAAGCUUAAGGCUUGUGGGAUGCUGCCGAACUGCAGGAAAUUAGGCUAAUUGAAGCUGUUAAGUGGAAGUCCAGCUGAGAAUAAUUCAUAAAAGGGGUUCAUGGUUGCUGAAAUUUCAUAUUUCAGAAUUGGGGAAUUUUGGGAAUUAAAAUUUGGUGGAGUUGAUGCAAUAAUUAAACUGCUUGUGACCCGAAUUGUGAAGAACCUGGUAGAGCUCGGAAAUGAGGAAUUGGAAAAAAGGAAAAAGAAGUUAAGUGCUGAAAUUCCUGUAGUAAGG